CCUACGGGUGGCAGCAGUGAGGAAUAUUGGUCAAUGGACGAGAGUCUGAACCAGCCAAGUCGCGUGAAGGAUGACUGCCCUAUGGUUUGUAAACUUCUUUUGUAAAGGAAUAAAACGAGGCACGUGUGCCUUUUUGCAUGUACUUUAUGAAUAAGGAUCGGCUAACUCCGUGCCAGCAGCCGCGGUAAUACGGAGGGUCCGAGCGUUAUCCGGAUUUAUUGGGUUUAAAGGGAGCGUAGAUGGGAUGUUAAGUCAGUUGUGAAAGUUCGCGGCUCAACCGUAAAAUUGCAAUUGAUACUGGCAGUCUUGAGUAGAGGUGAGGUAAGCGGAAUUCGUGGUGUAGCGGUGAAAUGCUUAGAUAUCACGAAGAACCCCGAUUGCGAAGGCAGCUUACUAACCUGUAACUGACGCUGAGGCUCGAAAGCGUGGGUAUCAAACAGGAUUAGAUACCCGAGUAGUC
This 460-nucleotide ribosomal RNA is filed under the name uncultured bacterium. Its description in RNAcentral is "partial 16S ribosomal RNA". It matches the Rfam family "Bacterial small subunit ribosomal RNA", at positions 338 to 795 of the family's 1533-position model. The record is from RNAcentral.